GACGAACGCUGGCGGCGUGCUUAACGCAUGCGAGUCGAACGGAAAGGCCCUGCUUUUGUGGGGUGCUCGAGUGGCGAACGGGUGAGUAACACGUGAGUAACCUGCCCUUGACUUUGGGAUAACUUCAGGAAACUGGGGCUAAUACCGGAUAGGAGCUCCUGCUGCAUGGUGGGGGUUGGAAAGUUUCGGCGGUUGGGGAUGGACUCGCGGCUUAUCAGCUUGUUGGUGGGGUAGUGGCUUACCAAGGCUUUGACGGGUAGCCGGCCUGAGAGGGUGACCGGCCACAUUGGGACUGAGAUACGGCCCAGACUCCUACGGGAGGCAGCAGUGGGGAAUAUUGCACAAUGGGCGGAAGCCUGAUGCAGCAACGCCGCGUGCGGGAUGACGGCCUUCGGGUUGUAAACCGCUUUCGCCUGUGACGAAGCGUGAGUGACGGUAAUGGGUAAAGAAGCACCGGCUAACUACGUG
This 468-nucleotide ribosomal RNA is filed under the name uncultured bacterium. RNAcentral describes it as "partial 16S ribosomal RNA". It matches the Rfam family "Bacterial small subunit ribosomal RNA", at positions 28 to 507 of the family's 1533-position model. The record is from RNAcentral.